GCGGNAUUACACGAGGGUGCGAGCGUUAAUCGGAUUUACUGGGCGUAAAGCGUGCGUAGGCGGCCAAUUAAGUCAAAUGUGAAAUCCCCGAGCUUAACUUGGGAAUUGCAUUCGAUACUGGUUGGCUAGAGUAUGGGAGAGGAUGGUAGAAUUCCAGGUGUAGCGGUGAAAUGCGUANAGAUCUGGAGGAAUACCGAUGGCGAAGGCAGCCAUCUGGCCUAAUACUGACGCUGAGGUACGAAAGCAUGGGGAGCAAACAGGAUUAGAUACCCUGGUAGUCCAUGCCGUAAACGAUGUCUACUAGCCGUUGGGGCCCUUGAGGCUUUAGUGGCGCAGCUAACGCGAUAAGUAGACCGCCUGGGGAGUACGGUCGCAAGACUAAAACUCAAAUGAAAUUGACGGGGGCCCGCACAAGCGGUGGAGCAUGUGGUUUAAUUCGAUGCAACGCGAAGAACCUUACCUGGCCUUGACAUACAGAGAACUUUCCAGAGAUGGAUUGGUGCCUUCGGGAAACUCUGAUACAGGUGCUGCAUGGCUGUCGUCAGCUCGNGUCCUGANAUGUUGGGUUAAUCCCGCCAACNAGCGCAACCCUUUUCCUUAUUUGCCAGCCCUUCGGGUGGGACUUUUAGGAAUACNUGCCGUGACAACUGGAGGAAGGCGGGGACC
RNAcentral lists this ribosomal RNA (666 nucleotides) under Acinetobacter radioresistens. RNAcentral's name for it is "bacterial SSU rRNA". It matches the Rfam family "Bacterial small subunit ribosomal RNA", at positions 517 to 1181 of the family's 1533-position model. Lineage: Bacteria; Pseudomonadati; Pseudomonadota; Gammaproteobacteria; Moraxellales; Moraxellaceae. The record is from RNAcentral.